Drosophila albomicans is the source of this 1390-nucleotide long non-coding RNA. RefSeq lists it as uncharacterized. NCBI's taxonomy places the organism in Eukaryota, Metazoa, Arthropoda, Insecta, Diptera, Drosophilidae. The transcript is spliced from 2 exons. The record is from RefSeq and is a predicted model, not a curated record.
UAUAUAUACAUUUAUGUAUGUAUCUAUAUGAACAGAAUACUUGCGUAUUUUAAGUAUGCAUUUAUUUCAUACACAAUUAUGUGUUUGGUAGCAAAAGAACGCCAUCAUAUUAGUGGCACAAAUUAAGACAUGAGAUAUGAGUUCAGCUUUGACAAAAAAUUUCAACAUAUGAAAAUUGAAGAAAAACUUUUUAAAUAGCAUUUUAUACUGUUUAUUAAUAUAAUGAGAUAAGAUUUUGAAUUUAACUUGAGAAAAAGAUUUUUUGGACUUGGUGAAUUUUUUAUUGAACUGCAGCCAUAUGAUAUGAGGUUCUACCGAGAGAUGAGUUCAACUUUGACAAAAAAUUUCAACAUAUGAAAAUUGAAGAAAAACCUUUUUAAUUAUCAUUUUAAACAGUUUAUUAAUAUAAUGAGAUAAGAUUUUGAAUUUAACUUGAGAAAAAGAUUUUUUGGACUUGGUGAAUUUUUUAUUGAACUUCAGCCAUAUGAUAUGAGGUUCUACCGAGAUAUGAGUUCAACAUUGAAAAAAAUUUCAACAUAUGAAAAUUGAAGAAAAAACUUUUUAAAUAUCAUUUUAUACAGUUUAUUAAUAUAAUGAGAUACGAUUUUGAAUUUAACUUGAGAAAAAAAUUUUUUGGACUUGGUGAAUUUUUUAUUGAACUGCAGCCAUAUGAUAUGAGGUUCUACCGAGAUAUGAGUUCAACUUUGACAAAAAAUUUCAACAUAUGAAAAUUGAAGAAAAAACUUUUUAUAUAUAUCAUUUUAUAUAGUUUUUUAAUAAAAUGAAUUAAGAUUUUGAAUUUAACUUGAGAAAAAAAUUUUUUGGACUUGGUAAAUUUUUUGGACUUGGUAAAUUUUUUAUUGAACUUCAGCCAUAUGAUAUGAGGUUCUACCGAAAUAUGAGUUCAACUUUGACAAAAAAUUUCAACAUAUGAAAAUUGAAGAAAAAACUUUUUAAAUAGCAUUUUAUACUGUUUAUUAAUAUAAUGAGAUAAGAUUUUUAAUUUAACUUGAGAAAAAAAUUUUUUGGACUUGGUGAAUUUUUUAUUGAACUACAGCCAUAUGAUAUGAGGUUCUACCGAGAUAUGAGUUCAACUUUGACAAAAAAUUUCAACAUAUGAAAAUUGUAGAAAAAACUUUUUAUAUAUCAUUUUAUACAGUUUUUUAAUAAAAUGAGAUAAGAUUUUGAAUUUAACUUGAGAAAAAAAUUUUUUGGACUUGGUGAAUUUUUUAUUGAACUGCAGCCAUAUGAUAUAAGGUUCUACCGAGAUAUGAGUUCAACUUUGACAAAAAAUUUUAAACAAUGUUAAACAAUUUACGAUUGUACUAGUAUUUAAUACAAAUUAUUGAUAACAAAAUAAUGAAGUUUUGCUGUUGUAUUAUUAAAAUAG